GAUGAACGCUGGCGGCGUGCCUAACACAUGCAAGUCGAACGAGGCAAAUAAGAUGAAGUUUUCGGAUGGAUUCUUAUUUACCGAGUGGCGGACGGGUGAGUAACGCGUGGGUAACCUGCCUCAUACAGGGGGAUAACGAUUGGAAACGAUUGCUAAUACCGCAUAAGCGCACAGUACCACAUGGUGCAGUGUGAAAAACUCCGGUGGUGUAAGAUGGUCCCGCGUCUGAUUAGCUAGUUGGUGAGGUAACGGCCCACCAAGGCGACGAUCAGUAGCCGGCCUGAGAGGGUGUACGGCCACAUUGGGACUGAGACACGGCCCAAAACUCCUACGGGAGGCAGCAGUGGGGAAUAUUGCGACAAUGGAGGAACUCUGAUGCAGCGACGCCGCGUGAGUGAAGAAGUAUCUCGGUAUGUAAAACUCUAUCAGCAGGGAAGAUAAUGACGGUACCUGACUAAGAAGCACCGGCUAAAUACGUGCCAGCAGCCA
RNAcentral lists this ribosomal RNA (489 nucleotides) under uncultured bacterium. Its description in RNAcentral is "bacterial SSU rRNA". It matches the Rfam family "Bacterial small subunit ribosomal RNA", at positions 28 to 517 of the family's 1533-position model. The record is from RNAcentral.